AACAGGAUUAGAUACCCUGGUAGUCCACCCCGUAAACGUUGGGAACUAGUUGUGGGGACCAUUCCACGGUUUCCGUGACGCAGCUAACGCAUUAAGUUCCCCGCCUGGGGAGUACGGCCGCAAGGCUAAAACUCAAAGGAAUUGACGGGGACCCGCACAAGCGGCGGAGCAUGCGGAUUAAUUCGAUGCAACGCGAAGAACCUUAUCAAGGCUUGACAUACACCAGAACACCGUAGAAAUACGGGACUCUUUGGACACUGGUGAACAGGUGGUGCAUGGUUGUCGUCAGCUCGUGUCGUGAGAUGUUGGGUUAAGUCCCGCAACGAGCGCAACCCUCGUUCUAUGUUGCCAGCACGUAAUGGUGGGAACUCAUGGGAUACUGCCGGGGUCAACUCGGAGGAAGGUGGGGAUGACGUCAAAUCAUCAUGCCCCUUAUGUCUUGGGCUUCACGCAUGCUACAAUGGCCGGUACAAAGGGCUGCAAUACCGUGAGGUGGAGCGAAUCCCAAAAAGCCGGUCCCAGUUCGGAUUGAGGUCUGCAACUCGACCUCAUGAAGUCGGAGUCGCUAGUAAUCGCAGAUCAGCAACGCUGCGGUGAAUACGUUCCCGGGUCUUGUACACACCGCCCGUCAAGUCAUGAAAGUCGGUAACACCUGAAGCCGGUGGCCUAACCCUUGUGGAGGGAGCCGUCGAAGGUGGGAUCGGUAAUUAGGACUAAGUCGUAACAAGGUAACC
This 734-nucleotide ribosomal RNA is filed under the name uncultured bacterium. Its description in RNAcentral is "bacterial SSU rRNA". It matches the Rfam family "Bacterial small subunit ribosomal RNA", at positions 771 to 1501 of the family's 1533-position model. The record is from RNAcentral.